Molecule: transfer RNA, 74 nt
Filed under: Planctomycetes bacterium GWF2_41_51
Lineage: Bacteria; Pseudomonadati; Planctomycetota
Also listed under: 1 other name
Description: tRNA-Val
Rfam family: tRNA
About the family: Transfer RNA (tRNA) molecules are approximately 80 nucleotides in length. Their secondary structure includes four short double-helical elements and three loops (D, anti-codon, and T loops).
Source: RNAcentral
GGGUGGUUAGCUCAGUUGGCUAGAGCGCCUGCCUUACAAGCAGGAUGUCACAGGUUCAAGUCCUGUACCGCCCA